GUCUUUAACAAUGCCGGCUGUCUUCGGAACCGGCUGGACUGAAAUACAACAAGCUGGAUCAGAACUUCUUGCGGCUUGACCUGACGUUGUAAAAUCAACUCGUUGGGGACGCAAAGUUGUGAAUGAGCUUCUGCAAAUAAUCUACUGUUGAUUCAGUACAAUCAGACCUCAAAUCAGGUAGGACUACCCGCUGAACUUAA
Molecule: unclassified non-coding RNA, 200 nt
Filed under: soil metagenome
Description: partial contains internal transcribed spacer 2 and large subunit ribosomal RNA
Source: RNAcentral